This is a non-coding RNA of Camelina sativa (false flax), 554 nucleotides long. NCBI's taxonomy places the organism in Eukaryota, Viridiplantae, Streptophyta, Magnoliopsida, Brassicales, Brassicaceae. The record is from RefSeq and is a predicted model, not a curated record.
UGGAGGCAAAGACGGUGUUGUUUUGCUGUGGGAUUUGGCUGAGGGGAAGAAGCUUUACUCUCUUGAAGCUAACUCUGUGAUCCAUGCCCUUUGCUUCAGUCCCAACAGGUACUGGCUAUGUGCUGCAACUGAACAGGGUAUUAAGAUUUGGGACCUGGAGAGCAAGAUCAUUGUUGAGGAUUUGAAGGUUGAUCUUAAGGCUGAGGCCGAGAAGGCUGACAACAGUGGUCCUGCUGCCACCAAGAAAAAGGUUAUUUACUGCACAAGCCUGAACUGGAGCGCUGAUGGAAGCACCUUGUUCAGUGGUUAUACCGAUGGAGUUAUUAGAGUUUGGGGUAUUGGUCGUUAUUAGUAAUCCCAUCACUCGUGCACUUGGUUGCUCUAUCUGCUAUCUCGUUGUUGGUUUUCUUUUAUCCCUUAUGUUUUGUCAACAACUCAUAAAGUACCCUGAGGUUUUCAGAAGGAUGUUUGGUUUCAUGUCAAUCUAGGUUUGCUUUUUUAUCUUAUCACGUAAGAAUCUUGCGGUUUUGGAGUUACUCUUAUUUUGUGUCAAA